AACGAACGCUGGCGGCAUGCCUAACACAUGCAAGUCGAACGAGACCUUCGGGUCUAGUGGCGCACGGGUGCGUAACGCGUGGGAACCUGCCCUUAGGUUCGGAAUAACUCCCCGAAAGGGGUGAUAAUACCGGAUAAUGUCUUCGGAUCAAAGAUUUAUCGCCUUUGGAUGGGCCCGCGUUGGAUUAGCUAGUUGGUAGGGUAAAAGCCUACCAAGGCGACGAUCCAUAGCUGGUCUGAGAGGAUGAUCAGCCACACUGGGACUGAGACACGGCCCAGACUCCUACGGGAGGCAGCAGUGGGGAAUAUUGGACAAUGGGCGAAAGCCUGAUCCAGCAAUGCCGCGUGAGUGAUGAAGGCCUUAGGGUUGUAAAGCUCUUUUACCCGGGAUGAUAAUGACAGUACCGGGAGAAUAAGCUCCGGCUAACUCCGU
This 432-nucleotide ribosomal RNA is filed under the name uncultured bacterium. Its description in RNAcentral is "partial 16S ribosomal RNA". It matches the Rfam family "Bacterial small subunit ribosomal RNA", at positions 29 to 506 of the family's 1533-position model. The record is from RNAcentral.